UCUUGGGUAUUUAGAGGAAGUAAAAGUCGUAACAAGGUUUCCGUAGGUGAACCUGCGGAAGGAUCAUUCAUAAUAAGUGUUCUACUGCACUUUUUAAACAAGUACUCACCUUGUGUGCAAUGUUUGCUGUCGUGUCGUUUUUUCGUCACGACAGCACAAUACCAACCUUUUAUUGUAACUUUUUUGUCUGAAGCUAUUUCGAAUACAUAAUUCUAAAUACAACUUUCAACAACGGAUCUCUUGGCUCUCGCAUCGAUGAAGAACGCAGCGAAAUGCGAUACGUAAUGUGAAUUGCAGAAUUCAGUGAAUCAUCGAAUCUUUGAACGCACAUUGCACUCUCUGGUAUUCCGGAGAGUAUGCUUGUUUGAGUAUCUGUAAACAUCUCAAAUCUCUCUUCAAUUGUUGAGAGAAUUGGAUUUGAGCGAUCCCGACUCCUUCGUCAGAAAGAGGAGGGUCGCUUGAAAUGCAGGUGCAGCUGGACAUUCUUCUGAGCAAAAAGCAUAUCUUUUUAGUCCCGUCAAACGGAUUAUUACUUUUGCUUCAGCUAAUAUAAAGGUUGAAUGAACUACCAACGCUGAUUGCAGGAAAACAUGUUCGUUUAUUCGGACUUGUAAACUCGAUCUCAAAUCAAGUAAGACUACCCGCUGAACUUAAGCAUAUCAAUAAGCGGGAGGA
This 675-nucleotide ribosomal RNA is filed under the name fungal sp. APA-2013. Its description in RNAcentral is "eukaryotic LSU rRNA". The stretch from base 221 to 374 matches the Rfam family "5.8S ribosomal RNA". Lineage: Eukaryota; Fungi. The record is from RNAcentral.